Molecule: transfer-messenger RNA, 344 nt
Filed under: Peptoniphilus equinus
Lineage: Bacteria; Bacillati; Bacillota; Tissierellia; Tissierellales; Peptoniphilaceae
Description: Peptoniphilus sp. CBA3646 transfer-messenger RNA
Rfam family: transfer-messenger RNA
About the family: Bacterial tmRNA, also known as 10Sa RNA or SsrA, is named for its dual tRNA and mRNA-like properties.
Source: RNAcentral
GGGGGCGAAAAUGGCUUCGACGGGGGUUUGGAGCACUGAAUAGCGAGUCGCUUGAGACAGCGUUAAAGCUCACAAAAAAACAAACGACAAAAACGAAAAUUUAGCAUUCGCAGCCUAACGGCUCGGAUCAUCCACACCGGAAGGCCAGCGAGCCGGUCUGGGUGUCAAAUUCAGCUGGACACAAAGCUAAGUUAGUUGACAUAACUUAGGGGGUAACCAUGUCAAUAGCUGCCGCAACUUUGACUGUCGAGGUGUUGCAGUGAAAUAAAAAGACAGCUCUGCACUCGGAGAAGUUCACUGUAAAGAGCUUUCGGACGCGGGUUCGACUCCCGCCGCCUCCACCA